UGGGGGAUAUUGCACAAUGGGCGAAAGCCUGAUGCAGCAACGCCGCGUGAGGGAAGAAGGUCUUCGGAUUGUAAACCUUUGUCUUAUGGGAAGAAGAAAGUGACGGUACCAUAGGAGGAAGCCACGGCUAACUACGUGCCAGCAGCCGCGGUAAUACGUAGGUGGCGAGCGUUGUCCGGAAUUACUGGGUGUAAAGGGCGUGCAGGCGGCAUAUUAAGUCAGAUGUGAAAUCUGAGGGCUUAACCCUCAGACUGCAUUUGAAACUGAAGUGCUUGAGUGCAGGAGAGGAAAGCGGAAUUCCUAGUGUAGCGGUGAAAUGCGUAGAUAUUAGGAGGAACACCAGUGGCGAAGGCGGCUUUCUGGACUGUAACUGACGCUGAGACGCGAAAGCGUGGGGAGCAAACAGG
Molecule: ribosomal RNA, 407 nt
Filed under: uncultured prokaryote
Also listed under: 1 other name
Description: bacterial SSU rRNA
Rfam family: Bacterial small subunit ribosomal RNA
Source: RNAcentral